This 253-nucleotide ribosomal RNA is filed under the name uncultured bacterium. RNAcentral's name for it is "partial 16S ribosomal RNA". It matches the Rfam family "Bacterial small subunit ribosomal RNA", at positions 524 to 776 of the family's 1533-position model. The record is from RNAcentral.
UACGAAGGGGGCAAGCGUUACUCGGAAUUAUUGGGCGUAAAGCGUGCGUAGGCGGCUUUAUAAGUUGAAAGUGAAAGCCUUUGGCUCAACCAAAGAAUUGCUUACAAAACUGUAAAGCUAGAGUAUUAGAGAGGGUAGAAGAAUUUCUAAUGUAGGGGUGAAAUCCGUAGAUAUCAGAAAGAAUAUCGAAGGCGAAAGCAUCUGUCUGGCUAAAUACUGACGCUGUUGCACGAAAGCGUGGGGAGCAAACAGG